This 383-nucleotide ribosomal RNA is filed under the name uncultured bacterium. RNAcentral describes it as "bacterial SSU rRNA". It matches the Rfam family "Bacterial small subunit ribosomal RNA", at positions 773 to 1160 of the family's 1533-position model. The record is from RNAcentral.
AGUCAAUAGAUACCGGGUAGUCCACGCAGUAAACGAUGAAUACUAGCUGUAUGCGAUAUACUGUAUGUGGCAAAGCGAAAGCGUUAAGUAUUCCACCUGGGGAGUACGUUCGCAAGAAUGAAACUCAAAGGAAUUGACGGGGGCCCGCACAAGCGGAGGAACAUGUGGUUUAAUUCGAUGAUACGCGAGGAACCUUACCCGGGCUUGAAAUGCAGAGGAAUGACUUGGAAACAGGUCCGCCAGCAAUGGUCUCUGUGUAGGUGCUGCAUGGUUGUCGUCAGCUCGUGCCGUGAGGUGUCGGCUUAAGUGCCAUAACGAGCGCAACCCUUAUCAUUAGUUACUAACAGGUUACGCUGAGGACUCUAAUGAGACUGCCACCGUAA